This 497-nucleotide ribosomal RNA is filed under the name uncultured bacterium. RNAcentral's name for it is "partial 16S ribosomal RNA". It matches the Rfam family "Bacterial small subunit ribosomal RNA", at positions 28 to 507 of the family's 1533-position model. The record is from RNAcentral.
GAUGAACGCUGGCGGCGUGCCUAAUACAUGCCAGUCGAGCGAACGGACGAGAAGCUUGCUUCUCUGAUGUUAGCGGCGGACGGGUGAGUAACACGUGGAUAACCUACCUAUAAGACUGGGAUAACUUCGGGAAACCGGAGCUAAUACCGGAUAAUAUUUUGAACCGCAUGGUUCAAAAGUGAAAGACGGUCUUGCUGUCACUUAUAGAUGGAUCCGCGCUGCAUUAGCUAGUUGGUAAGGUAACGGCUUACAAAGGCAACGAUGCAUAGCCGACCUGAGAGGGUGAUCGGCCACACUGGAACUGAGACACGGUCCAGACUCCUACGGGAGGCAGCAGUAGGGAAUCUUCCGCAAUGGGCGAAAGCCUGACGGAGCAACGCCGCGUGAGUGAUGAAGGUCUUCGGAUCGUAAAACUCUGUUAUUAGGGAAGAACAUAUGUGUAAGUAACUGUGCACAUCUUGACGGUACCUAAUCAGAAAGCCACGGCUAACUACGUG